UGAGAGUAUAAGUCGGAUCAGCUGCUGUAAAAACCUCACUCGCUAAUCCUUCCCUUCAACUUUCGCCGCCGCGAUCCUGCUCGAGAUAGGCAAAAAAGGAAAAUGCAAGGGAUAUACCAGGCCAUCUGUUCACAUGGAAAUAUUCUCAAGUACUCUAUCCUGAAACAUGUACGUGUUGUAGCUCCAGUUGCCCGGCCACUUAUAUUUUCACGAGCCGAGACAGUGGCUGCUACUAAACUAGAAGAGCAUGGAUUUGAGAGUACAACGAUUGCAGAUGUUUUGAAUGCCAAAGGAAAAGGUGCUGAUGGGUCCUGGCUCUGGUGCUCUACUGAGGACACUGUGUAUGAUGCUGUGAAAUCUAUGACACAGAACAAUGUAGGAGCUCUGGUGGUGCUAAGUCCUGGAGCAGAUAAAGCGAUUGCUGGAAUUAUUACUGAAAGAGAUUAUCUUCGGAAAAUUAUUGUUCAAGGAAGAUCGUCAAAGACUACUAAAGUUGGCGACAUCAUGACUGAAGAGAAUAAGUUGAUCACUGUGACACCAGAUACCAAAGCCCUAAAGGCCAUGCAACUCAUGACAGGGAACCCAAUGAGGGAAUGGAGACCUAGCAAGCGAAACUGAGUGGGAGAGAGCACGGGCUUCUUUGUCUGAAGAAAGUAGGAAAAAUUAUUUUGUCCGGAUUCCAGCCCCCAAUGAAAAUGCGCCACGUCCGGUACCGAGUUUAUACCGAGCGGUACUCGGUACCGCUCGGUAUCUGAACGUGAACCGGAUGGUUCUCCUGUCCGGUGUCCGCCCAGAAUAUCUUUCGAAGAAUAGAGAGGAAGAAUGAGAGGAAUUUUCAGGAGGGCUUCUGGCGCGGGAGAGAGCAUUGGGAGCGGGACAUCCAUGAAAGGGAGGUAGAGAGUGGUUGCCUUCCUCAAUUAGAUCUUUGAAGUUGCUCGUGGCAAUCAACAGUUGAAAGGAGGCUUUUUCUGGCUGAUACUUGAAUCAUGGAGCCAAUAUCUAAGCGAAGUUUAAAAAGAAAAUGGCAUGAAAACUAGG
Molecule: RNA transcript, 1038 nt
Organism: Dendrobium catenatum
Lineage: Eukaryota; Viridiplantae; Streptophyta; Magnoliopsida; Asparagales; Orchidaceae
Gene name: CBS domain-containing protein CBSX3, mitochondrial-like
Exons: 7
Source: RefSeq, a predicted model, not a curated record